This 419-nucleotide ribosomal RNA is filed under the name uncultured ammonia-oxidizing beta proteobacterium. RNAcentral describes it as "bacterial SSU rRNA". It matches the Rfam family "Bacterial small subunit ribosomal RNA", at positions 197 to 597 of the family's 1533-position model. Lineage: Bacteria; Pseudomonadati; Pseudomonadota; Betaproteobacteria. The record is from RNAcentral.
UGGAGGAAAGCAGGGGAUCGUAAGACCUUGCGCUUUUGGAGCGGCCGAUGUCUGAUUAGCUAGUUGGUGGGGUAAUGGCCUACCAAAGCUUCGAUCAGUAGCUGGUCUGAGAGGACGGCCAGCCACACUGGGACUGAGACACGGCCCAGACUCCUACGGGAGGCAGCAGUGGGGAAUUUUGGACAAUGGGCGCAAGCCUGAUCCAGCCAUGCCGCGUGAGUGAAGAAGGCCUUCGGGUUGUAAAGCUCUUUCAGCCGGGAAGAAAAGGCUGCGACUAAUAAUCGCAGUUCAUGACGGUACCGGAAGAAGAAGCACCGGCUAACUACGCGCCAGCAGCCGCGGUAAUACGUAGGGUGCGAGCGUUAAUCGGAAUUACUGGGCGUAAAGGGUGCGCAGGCGGUUUUGUAAGUCAGAUGUGA